Molecule: ribosomal RNA, 536 nt
Filed under: uncultured bacterium
Lineage: Bacteria
Description: bacterial SSU rRNA
Rfam family: Bacterial small subunit ribosomal RNA
Source: RNAcentral
CUCCUACGGGAGGCUGCAGUGGGGAAUAUUGGACAAUGGGCGCAAGCCUGAUCCAGCCAUGCCGCGUGGGUGAAGAAGGCCUUCGGGUUGUAAAGCCCUUUUGUCCGGAAAGAAAAGCUCGAGGUUAAUACCUUCGGGUUCUGACGGUACCGGAAGAAUAAGCACCGGCUAACUUCGUGCCAGCAGCCGCGGUAAUACGAAGGGUGCAAGCGUUACUCGGAAUUACUGGGCGUAAAGCGUGCGUAGGUGGUUCGUUAAGUCUGAUGUGAAAGCCCUGGGCUCAACCUGGGAAUUGCAUUGGAUACUGGCGGGCUAGAGUGCGGUAGAGGAUGGCGGAAUUCCCGGUGUAGCAGUGAAAUGCGUAGAGAUCGGGAGGAACAUCUGUGGCGAAGGCGGCCAUCUGGACCAGCACUGACACUGAGGCACGAAAGCGUGGGGAGCAAACAGGAUUAGAUACCCUGGUAGUCCACGCCCUAAACGAUGCGAACUGGAUGUUGGGUGCAACUAGGCACUCAGUAUCGAAGCUAACGCGUUAA